Molecule: long non-coding RNA, 280 nt
Organism: Trifolium pratense (red clover)
Lineage: Eukaryota; Viridiplantae; Streptophyta; Magnoliopsida; Fabales; Fabaceae
Exons: 2
Source: RefSeq, a predicted model, not a curated record
CAUAUUGUACCAUAGAUCUUUCUUUUUCAUUUCAACAAGACAACAAAUGUUUUCGUUUCUUUAAGGUGUGUGUGAUUGGAACCUAGGAGGAUAAGAUUGCGUGGGACCCACAUAUUAUUCUUUCUCUCCAAAGCAGCGAAGAAAUGACAUCCAGCUCAUGACUUUUGCUAUUUUUUCAUCUAUAUGUUGCAUAGCUUUUUUUGUUGAAUAUUAAUUCAACUAAAAGAAUAAUAUUAUGAAUAUUUAAAUGCAGCUUAUUUAGUUUAAUUUUAUUUAUUAA